UACAGAGGGGGCAAGCGUUGUUCGGAAUUACUGGGCGUAAAGGGCGCGUAGGCGGCCGCCUAAGUCAGACGUGAAAUCCCUCGGCUCAACCGGGGAACUGCGUCUGAUACUGGGUGGCUUGAAUUCGGGAGAGGGAUGCGGAAUUCCAGGUGUAGCGGUGAAAUGCGUAGAUAUCUGGAGGAACACCGGUGGCGAAGGCGGCAUCCUGGACCGACACUGACGCUGAGGCGCGAAAGCUAGGGGAGCAAACGGG
Molecule: ribosomal RNA, 253 nt
Filed under: uncultured bacterium
Lineage: Bacteria
Description: partial 16S ribosomal RNA
Rfam family: Bacterial small subunit ribosomal RNA
Source: RNAcentral